Molecule: ribosomal RNA, 445 nt
Filed under: Micrococcus sp. 1948BAB
Lineage: Bacteria; Bacillati; Actinomycetota; Actinomycetes; Micrococcales; Micrococcaceae
Description: bacterial SSU rRNA
Rfam family: Bacterial small subunit ribosomal RNA
Source: RNAcentral
AUCCUGGCUCAGGAUGAACGCUGGCGGCGUGCUUAACACAUGCAAGUCGAACGAUGAAGCCCAGCUUGCUGGGUGGAUUAGUGGCGAACGGGUGAGUAACACGUGAGUAACCUGCCCUUGACUCUGGGAUAAGCCUGGGAAACUGGGUCUAAUACCGGAUAGGAACGUCCACCGCAUGGUGGUUGUUGGAAAGAUUUAUCGGUCAUGGAUGGACUCGCGGCCUAUCAGCUUGUUGGUGAGGUAAUGGCUCACCAAGGCGACGACGGGUAGCCGGCCUGAGAGGGUGACCGGCCACACUGGGACUGAGACACGGCCCAGACUCCUACGGGAGGCAGCAGUGGGGAAUAUUGCACAAUGGGCGAAAGCCUGAUGCAGCGACGCCGCGUGAGGGAUGACGGCCUUCGGGUUGUAAACCUCUUUCAGUAGGGAAGAAGCGAAAGUGACG